CCUACUGCUAGGUUUGCCCUUA
RNAcentral lists this microRNA (22 nucleotides) under Gallus gallus (chicken). Its description in RNAcentral is "gga-miR-12264-5p". The record is from miRBase by way of RNAcentral. Lineage: Eukaryota; Metazoa; Chordata; Aves; Galliformes; Phasianidae.